This 84-nucleotide transfer RNA is filed under the name Acidimicrobiia bacterium. RNAcentral's name for it is "tRNA-Leu". It matches the Rfam family "tRNA". From Rfam's summary of the family: Transfer RNA (tRNA) molecules are approximately 80 nucleotides in length. The record is from RNAcentral. Lineage: Bacteria; Bacillati; Actinomycetota; Acidimicrobiia.
GCCCCGGUGCCGGAACUGGAAUACGGAGCCGGCUUAAAACCGGCCGCCCGCAAGGGCAUGUGGGUUCGAAUCCCACCCGGGGCA